Molecule: ribosomal RNA, 469 nt
Filed under: uncultured bacterium
Lineage: Bacteria
Description: partial 16S ribosomal RNA
Rfam family: Bacterial small subunit ribosomal RNA
Source: RNAcentral
GAUGAACGCUGGCGGCGUGCUUAACACAUGCCAGUCGAACGGUGAAGCUCCAGCUUGCUGGAGUGGAUCAGUGGCGAACGGGUGAGUAACACGUGAGCAACCUGCCCCUGACUCUGGGAUAACAGCCGGAAACGGCUGCUAAUACCGGAUAUGCACCAUGAACGCAUGUUCUGUGGUGGGAAAGAUUUUUCGGUUGGGGAUGGGCUCGCGGCCUAUCAGCUUGUUGGUGAGGUGAUGGCUCACCAAGGCGUCGACGGGUAGCCGGCCUGAGAGGGUGACCGGCCACACUGGGACUGAGACACGGCCCAGACUCCUACGGGAGGCAGCAGUGGGGAAUAUUGCACAAUGGGCGAAAGCCUGAUGCAGCAACGCCGCGUGAGGGAUGACGGCCUUCGGGUUGUAAACCUCUUUUAGCAGGGAAGAAGCGAGAGUGACGGUACCUGCAGAAAAAGCGCCGGCUAACUACGUG